CAAUGGCACCCUAUUCCCUACAUAGUGCUCUACUUUUGGGCCCAGUCAAAAGUAGUGCACUAUGUAGGGAAUAGGGUGCCAUUG
RNAcentral lists this microRNA precursor (84 nucleotides) under Salmo salar (Atlantic salmon). Its description in RNAcentral is "mir-130 microRNA precursor family". It matches the Rfam family "mir-130 microRNA precursor family". Rfam says of the family: The hairpin precursors (represented here) are predicted based on base pairing and cross-species conservation -- their extents are not known. In this case the mature sequence is excised from the 3' arm of the hairpin. RNAcentral also lists the same sequence under 1 other name. Lineage: Eukaryota; Metazoa; Chordata; Actinopteri; Salmoniformes; Salmonidae. The record is from Rfam by way of RNAcentral.